Molecule: ribosomal RNA, 400 nt
Filed under: uncultured bacterium
Lineage: Bacteria
Description: bacterial SSU rRNA
Rfam family: Bacterial small subunit ribosomal RNA
Source: RNAcentral
CGGUAAUACGGAGGGGGUUAGCGUUGUUCGGAAUUACUGGGCGUAAAGCGCGCGUAGGCGGAUUAGAAAGUUGGGGGUGAAAUCCCGGGGCUCAACCCCGGAACUGCCUCCAAAACUGCUAGUCUAGAGUUCGAGAGAGGUGAGUGGAAUUCCGAGUGUAGAGGUGAAAUUCGUAGAUAUUCGGAGGAACACCAGUGGCGAAGGCGGCUCACUGGCUCGAUACUGACGCUGAGGUGCGAAAGUGUGGGGAGCAAACAGGAUUAGAUACCCUGGUAGUCCACACCGUAAACGAUGAAUGCCAGUCGUCGGGUAGUAUACUAUUCGGUGACACACCUAACGGAUUAAGCAUUCCGCCUGGGGAGUACGGUCGCAAGAUUAAAACUCAAAGGAAUUGACGGGG